UUAUUCUUUCAUUUAUUUAGAAACAUAAAAAGGCGGAGGAUCCAAAAUUGAAAAGGGUUCGUGGUGAUCUCCAGAAUAGAAUAGACAUUUAAAAAAUCAGGCUGAUAGCUAUGAUGACAAAGGACCUGUUAUAGAUGCUGUUGUAUGGCAUGAUGGAGAAGAAUGGAGGGUUGCUCUUGAUACACAAAGUCUCGAGGAUGAUCCAGAAGCUGGGAAGCUGGCUGGCUUUGUGCCCCUAACUAAUUACAGGAUUGAACGGAAAUAUGGCGUGUUUAGUAAAUUAGAUGCAUGUACAUUUGUUGUUAAUGUGUAUGACGAGGGGAAUAUAUUAAGUAUUGUUACAGAUAGCUCUCCUCAUGGCACUCAUGUUUCCGGUAUCGCUGCUGCUUUCCACCCACAGGAGCCCUUGUUAAAUGGUGUUGCACCUGGAGCACAAUUAAUUUCAUGUAAAAUUGGAGACUCACGUUUGGGUUCAAUGGAGACAGGAACUGGCUUGAUGCGAGCACUAAUAGGUGCUGUGGAGCAUAAAUGUGAUCUGAUCAACAUGAGCUAUGGAGAACCUACACUAUGACCUGACUAUGGACGCUUUGUUGAUCUUGUUAAUGAAGUGGUACAUGAGCACCGGUUAAUAUUUGUGAGUAGUGCUAGUAA
Hibiscus syriacus is the source of this 651-nucleotide long non-coding RNA. RefSeq lists it as uncharacterized. The record is from RefSeq and is a predicted model, not a curated record. Lineage: Eukaryota; Viridiplantae; Streptophyta; Magnoliopsida; Malvales; Malvaceae. The transcript has 6 exons.